RNAcentral lists this long non-coding RNA (523 nucleotides) under Setaria italica (foxtail millet). RNAcentral's name for it is "long non-coding RNA (SITA_LNC004414)". The record is from RNAcentral. Lineage: Eukaryota; Viridiplantae; Streptophyta; Magnoliopsida; Poales; Poaceae.
UCGUUGCAAUGGCAGCCCCACCGAGACGGCCGGGGGGCGUGCGCAGUAAAGGCCGUCUUUCAGUGCCGCCACAGCCCUUGUCGAUCAAAUUCGAUCUCCUGCACUGCACCCUGUGAUGAUGGAGGAGUGAAUACUGAAUGGGUAGGCAGGGCAGGGAGAGGUGCGUGCGUGAGAACGGGCGCAGAGAUGACAGAUUCUGCCUGCGUGCAAGAUCCAAGGAGACAAAGGCGGACGCGCCUGGCCCUGCCCUGCCUUUUCGCGAGCACACACAUUCAUGUCCGGCCAGGCCCCGGACCCUCAAUCAUGCGUGCGUGUGCUGUUGCUGCUCGUCAGCCACAACAAAGUCCUGUUACCUUGUUGCUUGUGCACGAGGGGUGGUACCCUGGGCCUUUUCUGAAGAAAGAAAAAAAAUUCCUUGGCUUGUUUAAAGAUCACAGAAUAAAAUAUGCAUAUUGAAAGUUCUAUGUGAUGAUGAAAAGAGUAAGAAGGUUUAUUGUUUAUCAGGCCAAGAGGAUAGUAGGUG